Molecule: ribosomal RNA, 402 nt
Filed under: uncultured bacterium
Lineage: Bacteria
Description: bacterial SSU rRNA
Rfam family: Bacterial small subunit ribosomal RNA
Source: RNAcentral
UGGGGAAUAUUGGACAAUGGGCGCAAGCCUGAUCCAGCCAUGCCGCGUGAGUGAUGAAGGCCCUAGGGUUGUAAAGCUCUUUCACCGGUGAAGAUAAUGACGGUAACCGGAGAAGAAGCCCCGGCUAACUUCGUGCCAGCAGCCGCGGUAAUACGAAGGGGGCUAGCGUUGUUCGGAAUUACUGGGCGUAAAGCGCACGUAGGCGGACAUUUAAGUCAGGGGUGAAAUCCCGGGGCUCAACCCCGGAACUGCCUUUGAUACUGGGUGUCUAGAGUUCGAGAGAGGUGAGUGGAAUUCCGAGUGUAGAGGUGAAAUUCGUAGAUAUUCGGAGGAACACCAGUGGCGAAGGCGGCUCACUGGCUCGAUACUGACGCUGAGGUGCGAAAGCGUGGGGAGCAAACA